UUUAAUAUGUAUUGUAAAUUUGAGCUCGAUCUAACGGUUGAAUUGAAGAAUAUUGAGGUUUAAGUGGGUCAAGGUCUCAGAAAGUAGAAUUUUAGGUCUAGUGGGGGUUUUUAAGAUUUCUUGCAAUCUACUAAAUGGAUUGGAGUGAAACUUAUGUGAGAGGAUAUGAGACUUGUUUUUCUAUGUGUAUGAGAAUUUUGAGAUCAAUCGAAUGGUGCAAAAGAGAGAUAUUGGCUUUAGAAGAUUGGCAUCAAGAUUGAAGGAGGCCGACCAAUACCCGAGCACACUUUUGAGGUUAUCAUCAAUUUAUUAACUCCGAUCUUUUUUAUUUUUUUUUUGUACUUAUUUUUCACUUAUUUUUUAAGAAGUGUAUAAAAUUUGAGUUAAGAUCAAUGGUUUAUUCAUUAGUUAUGGAGGUUUAAAUUUGUUGUAGAAAUUACUAGGAUUUGAUUUAAGGUUUAGGAUUUUGAUUAGGAUUUGAUUUAGAGUUUAAGAUUUGAUUAGGAAUUGAUUUAGGAUUUAGGAUUUGGAUUAGGAUUUGAUUUAGGAUUUAGGAUUUGAUUAGGAUUUGGUUUAGAAUUUAGGAUUUGAUUAGGGAUUGAUUUAGGAUUUAGGAUUUGAAUUAGGAUUUGAUUAAGGUUUGGUUUAGGAUUUGGUAUAGGAUUUGGUUAGGAUUUUAUUUAGGAUUUAGGAUUUGGUUAGGAUUUGAUUAGAGUUUGAUUUAGUAUUUAGGAUUUGGUUUAGGAUUUGGUUAGGAUUUAAUUUAGGAUUUGGUUGGGAUUUGGUUUAAGGUUUGUUUAGGAUUUCAUUUAGGAUUUAGAAUUUUAUUAGGAUUUAAGAUUCAAUUAGUUUUGGCCUAAAUUUUGAAUGAAGUUCAAUAGGAUUUUAACUAGAAUUAAAUUAAGAUUGAAUUGAGAUGUAUUUGAGUGAUAUUUGUGAUCCAUUUGAUAUUUCUUUAAGAAUUUUUAUUCUUUAUUUGAAAUUUCUUUGAGAUUUUUUUGAAAUUGAUUAAGCUU
RNAcentral lists this long non-coding RNA (1016 nucleotides) under Physcomitrium patens. RNAcentral's name for it is "long non-coding RNA (PPAT_LNC014136)". Lineage: Eukaryota; Viridiplantae; Streptophyta; Bryopsida; Funariales; Funariaceae. The record is from RNAcentral.